Molecule: transfer RNA, 67 nt
Filed under: Methylophaga frappieri
Lineage: Bacteria; Pseudomonadati; Pseudomonadota; Gammaproteobacteria; Thiotrichales; Piscirickettsiaceae
Description: tRNA-Und (NNN) (tRNA-Und-NNN-2-1)
Source: RNAcentral
AUAAUGAGCCACUUCGGCAACUGACUAUUAAUCAUGGUCGCUGGUUCGAGUCCAGCUCGGGGAGCCA